UUUUAAUGGAAUCACAUCUGAGUACUUGAAUGCCUAUUUUCUCUAAGAUACUCUUAGGCUCUGCAAAAAUGAAUAAGUUAUCUCUCUUGUCCUCAGAGUUUUACCUGCUGUAACAGAGAUUGCUGAUUGUACAUCAGACUCUUCCUUUGUGGCCUACCCUCCCUUUCACGUGUAUGUGUCAUGUGACUAAGUACUGGGGCAUUGAUUCUCCAUUCUCUAUCCCUGUCUGGUCAUUGAUGCCCAAGAUGAACUCCAAGCCAUGUGUGGAAGAUGGAAGAAUUACUGUCAGAUGGUCGUUAAAUGACUACAUGGAGCAAAGGCCCACUCCUUGCCCCAAGAAAACAUUUGUAUUGGAGACAUGUGUGGAUUAAAAUAAACUUCUUGUGUUAAACCACUGAAAGUUUUGACUGUAUUUGUUAUUGCAAUUAGCAUUACCCUCAGGCAACUUUUAGUAGGUAAUAUAGUAAUUCUAGAGUAAGUAUUUGAAUUCUCAAGAAUGAUUAAUGUAUGUCUUCAUUUGUAAUGCGUCCCAUUUGGAAAAA
Molecule: long non-coding RNA, 542 nt
Filed under: Marmota monax (woodchuck)
Lineage: Eukaryota; Metazoa; Chordata; Mammalia; Rodentia; Sciuridae
Source: RNAcentral